RNAcentral lists this ribosomal RNA (317 nucleotides) under uncultured bacterium. Its description in RNAcentral is "bacterial SSU rRNA". It matches the Rfam family "Bacterial small subunit ribosomal RNA", at positions 32 to 326 of the family's 1533-position model. The record is from RNAcentral.
AAUCAACGCUGGCGGCGUGCCUAACACAUGCAAGUCGAACGCGAAAGAGGGGGUAACUCCUCGAGUAGAGUGGCGAACGGGUGAGUAACACGUGAGAAACCUGCCUUCAGCAGGGGGACUAACACUCCCAACGGGGUGCUAAUACCGCAUGAGACCACGGAUUCGCAUGGAUCUGGGGUCAAAGGUGGCCUCUGCUUGCAAGCUACCGGCUGAAGAUGGUCUCGCGUCCCAUUAGCUAGUUGGUGGGGUAAUGGCCACCAAGGCGACGAUGGGGUAGCUGGUCUGAGAGGAUGGUCAGCCACACUGGGACUGAGAUA